Molecule: ribosomal RNA, 400 nt
Filed under: uncultured bacterium
Lineage: Bacteria
Description: bacterial SSU rRNA
Rfam family: Bacterial small subunit ribosomal RNA
Source: RNAcentral
UGGGGAAUCUUGCGCAAUGGAGGAAACUCUGACGCAGCGACGCCGCGUGGGUGAAGAAGGCCUUCGGGUUGUAAAGCCCUGUCGGAAGGGACAAACGGCUAUUGUGCUAAUACCACAGUAGCGUGAUGGUACCUUACGAGGAAGCACCGGCUAACUCUGUGCCAGCAGCCGCGGUAAUACAGAGGGUGCAAGCGUUGUUCGGAAUUAUUGGGCGUAAAGGGCAAGUAGGUGGUCUUGUAAGUCUACUGUGAAAUCCCCAAGCUUAACUUGGGAAGUGCGGUAGAUACUGCUUGACUAGAGUGCCGGAGGGGUGCGCGGAAUACUCGGUGUAGCGGUGAAAUGCGUAGAUAUCGAGUGGAAUAUCAGAGGCGAAGGCGGCGCACUGGACGGUAACUGACAC